AAGUCGUAACAAGGUUUCCGUAGGUGAACCUGCGGAAGGAUCAUUAUCAAAAGUCAGUCGGGAGCCCUAGUGGCUGCCGUCUACACCCAAGUCUUUUGUGUACUCAUUGUUUCCUCGGCGGCGUAAGUCGCCGAAUGGACAAACUAAAACCUCUUUGUAAUUGCAAUCAGCGUCAUUAAAUAUAAUAAUAUUUACAACUUUCAACAACGGAUCUCUUGGUUCUG
RNAcentral lists this unclassified non-coding RNA (224 nucleotides) under Edenia gomezpompae. RNAcentral's name for it is "partial internal transcribed spacer region". The stretch from base 1 to 46 matches the Rfam family "Eukaryotic small subunit ribosomal RNA", at positions 1786 to 1831 of the family's 1831-position model. The record is from RNAcentral. Lineage: Eukaryota; Fungi; Ascomycota; Dothideomycetes; Pleosporales; Pleosporaceae.